Small nuclear RNA from Sorex fumeus (smoky shrew), 185 nucleotides. RefSeq annotates it as U2 spliceosomal RNA. NCBI's taxonomy places the organism in Eukaryota, Metazoa, Chordata, Mammalia, Eulipotyphla, Soricidae. The record is from RefSeq and is a predicted model, not a curated record. The transcript has a single exon.
AUUGCUUCCUGGCCUUUUGGUUAAGUGUCUGAUCUGUUCUUAUCAGUUUGAUAUCUAAUACAUCCUCUAUCUGAAGACAAUAUAGCGAAUGGAUUUUUGGAGCUAGGAGUUGGAAUAGGAGCUUGCUCCAGCCACUCUACACAUCGACCGGGUAUCGCAGUACCUCCAGGAAUUGUGCAUCAAAA